This 431-nucleotide ribosomal RNA is filed under the name uncultured Methanosaeta sp. Its description in RNAcentral is "bacterial SSU rRNA". It matches the Rfam family "Archaeal small subunit ribosomal RNA", at positions 908 to 1338 of the family's 1478-position model. Lineage: Archaea; Methanobacteriati; Methanobacteriota; Methanomicrobia; Methanotrichales; Methanotrichaceae. The record is from RNAcentral.
GGAUUCAACGCCGGAAAUCUUACCGGGACCGACAGCAAUAUGAAGGCCAGGCUGAAGACUUUGCCGGAUUAGCUGAGAGGUGGUGCAUGGCCGUCGUCAGUUCGUACUGUGAAGCAUCCUGUUAAGUCAGGCAACGAGCGAGACCCACGCCCACAGUUGCCAGCGUACUCUCUGGAGUGACGGGUACACUGUGGGGACCGCCGCUGCUAAAGCGGAGGAAGGAAUGGGCAACGGUAGGUCAGUAUGCCCCGAAUAUCCCGGGCUACACGCGAGCUACAAUGAUUGGUACAAUGGGUAUCUACCCCGAAAGGGGACGGGAAUCUCCUAAAACCAAUCUUAGUUCGGAUUGAGGGCUGCAACUCGCCCUCAUGAAGCUGGAAUCCGUAGUAAUCGCGUUUCAACAGAACGCGGUGAAUACGUCCCUGCUCCUU